RNAcentral lists this transfer RNA (77 nucleotides) under Candidatus Latescibacterota bacterium. Its description in RNAcentral is "tRNA-Val". It matches the Rfam family "tRNA". From Rfam's summary of the family: Transfer RNA (tRNA) molecules are approximately 80 nucleotides in length. Their secondary structure includes four short double-helical elements and three loops (D, anti-codon, and T loops). The record is from RNAcentral. Lineage: Bacteria; Pseudomonadati; Candidatus Latescibacterota.
GGGCGAUUAGCUCAGCUGGUUAGAGCACCUGCUCGACAAGCAGGGGGUCACUAGUUCGAAUCUAGUAUCGCCCACCA